RNAcentral lists this long non-coding RNA (452 nucleotides) under Homo sapiens (human). Its description in RNAcentral is "chaperonin containing TCP1 subunit 8 (ENSG00000291533.1)". Lineage: Eukaryota; Metazoa; Chordata; Mammalia; Primates; Hominidae. The record is from RNAcentral.
AGAGUCAGGAAUCAGCUUCCUGGCCUUAGUGUUCAUUGCAAUCCAGACAUGUUCUGAGUUAAAAUCCAUUGUCAAAGGAAUGUGACAUGGGGGCUGGUAUACAGGUUCCUCUUUAAUUUGAACUUUAUAUGCUAUCUGAAAUUGAUUAAAACUUUUAUUAAGGUCUUUGUGUUUUUUAAAGGCUAAACUCAAAAUGGGAUCUCCGAAGACUUUGUAAAACUGUUGGUGCUACAGCUCUUCCUAGAUUGACACCUCCUGUCCUUGAAGAAAUGGGACACUGUGACAGUGUUUACCUCUCAGAAGUUGGAGAUACUCAGGUGGUGGUUUUUAAGCAUGAAAAGGAAGAUGGCGCCAUUUCUACCAUAGUACUUCGAGGCUCUACAGACAAUCUGAUGGAUGACAUAGAAAGGGCAGUAGACGAUGGUGUUAAUACUUUCAAAGUUCUUACAAGG